Molecule: ribosomal RNA, 253 nt
Filed under: uncultured bacterium
Lineage: Bacteria
Description: partial 16S ribosomal RNA
Rfam family: Bacterial small subunit ribosomal RNA
Source: RNAcentral
UACGGAGGGUGCAAGCGUUGUUCGGAAUCAUUGGGCGUAAAGCGCGUGUAGGCGGCUUGGUAAGUCGGGAGUGAAAGCCCGGGGCUUAACCCCGGAACUGCAUUCGAAACUGCCUCGCUAGAGUCCCGGAGGGGAAGGCGGAAUUCCCGGUGUAGAGGUGAAAUUCGUAGAUAUCGGGAGGAACACCCGUAGCGAAGGCGGCCUUCUGGACGGUGACUGACGCUGAGACGCGAAAGCGUGGGGAGCAAACAGG